UACAGAGGUCUCAAGCGUUGUUCGGAAUCACUGGGCGUAAAGAGUACGUAGGCUGUUUUCUAAGUCAGGUGUGAAAGGCAGGGGCUCAACCCCUGGACUGCACAUGAUACUGGGAGACUGGAGUAAUGGAGGGGGAACCGGAAUUCUCGGUGUAGCAGUGAAAUGCGUAGAUAUCGAGAGGAACACUCGUGGCGAAGGCGGGUUCCUGGACAUUAACUGACGCUGAGGUACGAAGGCCAGGGUAGCGAAAGGG
This 253-nucleotide ribosomal RNA is filed under the name Akkermansia muciniphila ATCC BAA-835. Its description in RNAcentral is "partial 16S ribosomal RNA". It matches the Rfam family "Bacterial small subunit ribosomal RNA", at positions 524 to 776 of the family's 1533-position model. The record is from RNAcentral. Lineage: Bacteria; Pseudomonadati; Verrucomicrobiota; Verrucomicrobiia; Verrucomicrobiales; Akkermansiaceae.